AUGUACAUGAGUGAGCUUGACGCGCAGCCGACACAAGAGCCAGCUGAUGUGUUUCACACUGAGAGCGUGGAAAUGUUUUACUGCGAAAGCAUAGACCAACCACAGGAUGUGUGUGACCGAGAUGAAAGGUUUGCUAAGCUAUCUGCAUGCAACACGGGCAGGCAGCUACGUGUAAAGAUUGACACUGGGGCCAAAUGUAACGUAAUAUCCAGGGCGCUCCUGCAGCACACUGACCCCACUGCCUGCAUUAAUCCCGACAAGAAGGCAAAUCUUGUUGCCUACGGGGGUCACAAUAUUCAGACUCUUGGUGCAGCAGAUGUGAAUUUAACCUGUGGCCUACUGCAAUUUCAAAUUGUGGACAGAAACACCAAGCCCUUGCUGGGUCUCAGAGACAGUGUCAGACUGGUUUUUCUGACUUUUGGUCCGGAAGUGCAUGCCCUCACCCAACAGGAACCACCUGAGCUAUUGGAAUACAAAGACCUGUUCAACAAUGACACCAUCGGCAAACUGCCUGUAGUGUACCACAUGCGCCUUGAUCACUCCGUGCCCCCCACCAUAUGUGCCCCGAGGCGGGUGCCACUGGCCAUGAGGGACAAAAUCGUGGCAGAACUGCAGAGAAUGACUAACAUGGGGGUCAUCACACCAAUCCAGGAACACACUGAAUGGGUUUCAGCAAUGGUGGCCGCGAAGAAAAAAGACGGCACCAUCAGACUAUGCAUUGACCCUGUCAACCUUAACAAGGCCCUCCUCUGGCCCCAUCACCCCCUGAAGACUGUGGAGGAGGUGAUCGCUGACAUGCCAGAUGCCAAAAUGUUCAGCAUUCUGGAUGCAAAGUGUGGCUACUGGCAGGUGCCACUCAGCGAGGAAUCCUCAAGACUCACCACCUUUAUGACCCCAGUGGGCUGCUACACCUUCCUACGCAUGCCCUAUGGCAUCACCACGGGCAGUGAGGUCUUCCAAAGGUGCAUGGAGCAGCUAUUUGAGGGACAGUCAUGUGGGAUCGAGAUUGACGACAUCCUCGUGUGGGGCCGCGCUAGGGAGGAUGCUGUGCAUUUAAGUGUGUUUUGUCUGAAAAAUCUACUCUCACAUAAAUGCACAUAUUACUGA
Molecule: long non-coding RNA, 1107 nt
Filed under: Takifugu rubripes (torafugu)
Lineage: Eukaryota; Metazoa; Chordata; Actinopteri; Tetraodontiformes; Tetraodontidae
Description: lncRNA (ENSTRUG00000031031.1)
Source: RNAcentral